This is a long non-coding RNA of Papaver somniferum (opium poppy), 3932 nucleotides long. RefSeq lists it as uncharacterized. The transcript is spliced from 4 exons. The record is from RefSeq and is a predicted model, not a curated record. Lineage: Eukaryota; Viridiplantae; Streptophyta; Magnoliopsida; Ranunculales; Papaveraceae.
GCAGAAUGGAAGCGUGAAUAAAGAAUUGAUGAUAGCAAAAGUAGGAUAAUUGCAGAGAAAGCUAUGUGUUGAUUGAUAAUAAUAAUCAUUGUUAUAUAAAAGGUAUGGUGUUUGUGUCCUUGAUGACUAGGGCUAUCAGACGGAUGAUGUUAACGGAAUCAUGAUUUGGUGGUCUAGAUAUUCCGGAUGGGAAAGUCAUUGGACGGCUGGGAAACUUUCGAUUUUAACAAUUCGUACCACCAGUUUGUUCUAUACAUGGAAUCUUCAGAUACCAUCUUUCUUUCUUUAUGGCGAUUUAGCAGUGCCAUGAAAUUAAGGUUUCUUUCUUUCUUUCUCCAGAGAUGUAGAGAGAGGUUUCCUUACACAUAUUCAAUUAUUCUCAUACAACACUACCUACACCGCCGUCAGGAUCUAUAUCUUCAUCCACUUCUCCUUCUCGGCAGCAACAACGGUUCAGUGAACCACAACAUCAUCUUCUUAUAGUUGAGCAAGUGCUUAAAACAUCUUCAUCUCAUUUUUGUUGAUUUCAGUUGAAUUUGAGGGAUUUUCUAGGAUCAUACCUGGACAAAAGAACAACGCAAGCUCUGCAACCACCUGCAAUUGCGUCAGGCUGGGUUUGUUGUUUCAGAUCAGCUGCUUAUAUUGUUUAGUCCUGGGCUAUUUAGAUUCGCGUAUUCAGUAUAUAUUUCAAAUUGAUUUGAGAUUUGGGAAUUGUGCAUGUGUCAGUUGAUUGAGCUUUGAAUUUUCUUCACGCUUUUCUAAUUUCCUUUGAUCAUUUAAUAGUUUCUGAUUUGUUAAUACCACAUGUACCAAUCCUCUUUAUCCCUCUAGAUAGAUUUUAUGAGUUUUGAUUAGCUAUCUAUAGAACACUUUGAUUCAUACAGCUCUGAUCUCAUCUAUUUGUCUCUUUAAUUGAUUAAAUGGGUUUUGUUAUUUUGACAUGGAUAGUUAUUUGAAAGCAAAAAAUGUCGAAUUUGGUAAGAAGGCGAAGAAACUUCCAUAUGUGAUGAAGAGAGGCGAAAGCAACAGCUAUUUUUAAAAAGAAGCCUCUUAUGUAAUUUCUCAGGAACACUCAAAGGUUAUUACGCUGGGAAAAUUCUGAUUUUAAGCUCGAGUGUCGACAGGUUAUUUUAUAUGGAUGGCUAGAUUCUGAUACUAAGUUGGUUCAGUGAAUUACUAAUAGAGCUUCGAAAUUCAUACCCGUUUAUUGAGGAACACUUAACAUUGUAUUAUUGAUUUUUUUUCCCUUUCUUAAUACAUUUAUAUACACAAAUUUCUGGAUUCCAACGAGUCCUUAUAGGAUUCGUGGUGGGAAUUAAACAAAGUUUACCUGAUGAGGAAUAAUCUUUGCUUCCAUCAUUCAAGAAAAAACAAAGUUUCAACAUGUACCAACACUGCCAUUCUUCUUGCUACUUAUAUGCAUACUCUUGAGCUUCUUUAUAGAAGAGUCAGCAUCAUACCAAGCUUCCUAUCUGGCGCAUGCAUGAGUUGGAUUAAUGUAAGGCUUCUUUGGAGGAAUCAAGAAACAAGUCUUAGAGGAGCACCAAGCAAUGAGUUCCCCUUUCCUCAUUCUUUCUUGGUGUGGUAUAUAUAAUAUGCCAUUCUAUGAUGUUUUUUCAUUCGAAAUCAUUAUUUCAUCUUUAUGUUGGUGUACUUCUAUAAAAAUCCUUAAAAAUCCUUAUUGAGGAAGCCUUUGUUGGGAAUUUUCAAGUUUUAUGGAAUUUUAUUGAUCCUGCUAUUGCUGCACAGACUAAGUACUACUCAAAGGUUUUCCCUCCUAGGAACACUCCUGGGAUAUGUCUACUACUUUUCAAUUAAAGUCGAUAUUUGGUAUCCUUGAAACUAUAGAUAUGAGUCAACAUAUAUAGGAAGGAUUGAGGUUAGUCUAACCUUUCGUGGUUCUGUAUAGUAAAAAUGACGGUGCAAUUUAUUGAAUAGAUUAAUUAGUUGGUGCAUUUAUAAUAUUUAUAAUAUAGUCUUACAUUUUGAUUCCUCCCCAUGUUUUGAUUUGAGUUAUGAAUUGCAUGGGUGUAGGAAGAGACUGUAAAUUGCAUGGGUGUAUGAAGAGACUGUAAAAAUUUUAAUUCAUUUUUUUAGUUUAUCUGUAGGUCAUGAAGUAUGGGUUUUCUCUUGGAUUGAUUUCUGGCUAGGUUUUAGGUCAUAUUUUGAGUUUUGAAUUGCCGGGAGGUGGGAAGAGUCCGUAAAUUUUUUAUGCGAGAAGCCUUUGAGCAUGUGAGUUUGUUGGUUGGGAAUUGCAGGGACACGCAGGACUGGGUACUCUAUGUAAUGGGACAGAUAGUUGUCCGCUGUUUAUCAACAACUGCAUAGAGAAUGCUUAUAUUAUUGUACUAGGUAGCGCCUGUUUGUAUAUUAUCAAUUUACCUCUUAAUUCGUACUGAAUGUUCUGUUUGUAGAUAUAACAUUGUUGAUUGUCGAAAGUUUCCUGGAGUUGGUUGUCCAUCACCCAGAGUCUGUUUUCUUUUCUAAGUGGACUUAGCUGAAAUGACGGAAAUGCAAAAUAUACUCAUGUUAGUUAGUCACCUGUUCUUCGACUUAUAUAUCAUUCCAUCAUUUAUUAUUUUUAAUAUGGAUGCUUAGAUUUCUUUUUUUAAUGCAACUGAGGUCAUGUGUAUUAAUGCAUCAGUUCAUGUGGAGGGCUUAGAUUCUUCGUACAUCCAUGGCAACAGGAAAAAAGUGUUACGAAAUUCUUAAUAGGUAUUCAAAGAGAUGAAGAAAACCUUUUAGUAGUUGCAGAAGAUUGUUCUGCGAGGUUCUCAAAAUUUGUUUCAGUUACAUAUGGAGGGAUAUUAAGCAUGGCCAUCUCAGUCUAUCGCAUGUCAUAUGUACACGUAACACCAGGUUGAUUUAACCCGUCGACACUUUAAAAGCUUGAGCCAGUAUGGGUUUAAUUGCCAAGUGAAUUACCCGAUGAAAAGCUAAAGGUUUGGUGCACAUCUUGAUAUGUUCUCGUAAUGAAUAACCUUAAUUCUAUUAGUAGAUGAUGUUUUAUCUUUACUUAGACAUAAUUGUAGGUUAUUUUUUGAAGUAACUCCUCCUAACUCAAAUAGGAAAAUGCAUUUCUAAUGAAAACCUACUACACUAUGUACAUUUCUUUAACAGAUCCAUGCUAAUGCACGAAUAAAGAAGUCAAUUAGAUACGCCAAUGAACAAACUCCUUCUCCAUAGAAAACAAGUUGCACAAGAAAAGCCAAACUUACUAUUGUAUCAAGUAGAGGCAUUUUCAUUUUCGUUAGUAUAAUUUUACAAUUGUAUGCUCUGGACAGGUCAAUUCGAAAGAAAAAAAAAAGGUAUGACCUAAAAAAAAGAUUUGUUUACACCUUCAUAUAACUUACCAUCGUAUCAGGUAGAGGCAUUGGUUUCAUUAAUAUAAUUUUACGGUAUGUUCUGGACAGGUCAAUCCGAAAAAAAGAAAAGGGAUGAUAUAAGAAAGAGAUCUGUUUGUAUCUUCUAAAACAUGCUAAUUUUUUCCAAGUAAAAGAGAGAGAAUAAGCAAUAUAGAAGAAAAAAAAACCUUUUACGUAAUAACAUUCAUUCCUAUAGCAUCUCCAUAGUCCCAUUGGAAGUGACUAUUAGAUUACAACUUCUAAUUUAUUUUUUAUGAAGGUUAUCCUUAUCUAAUGGAUCACUAUACAAUUACCAUCAAAUUUCUUCAAUCUGUCAAGAUGAACCUGCUGGAGCUUCAAAAUCAUCGAUGGAGGUUAUUUGAUAGCAACCCUUGGGAAAAGUAGAAAGAGGACCAAGGUCUAGAAGAACUGGCCGUUGGUAGUUUAGUGUUUGGUUAGUAUUAUCUCCCACUCUUUUGUUCAUCAUUUUAUUUGGUUCUUAAUUCAUUUUUUUUUCCUGCUUACAUUUGAUGCAAGGAUUGUUGAAAUUAGUUUAUUUGGGUAAAUCAAAUCCCUAAGUUAAAAGUU